CAAUAAGCGGAGGAAAAGAAACUAACAAGGAUUCCCCUAGUAACUGCGAGUGAAGCGGGAAAAGCUCAAAUUUAAAAUCUGUCAGUCUUUGGCUGUCCGAGUUGUAAUCUAGAGAAGUGUUAUCCGCGCUGGACCGUGUACAAGUCUCCUGGAAUGGAGCGUCAUAGAGGGUGAGAAUCCCGUCUUUGACACGGACUGCCAGGGCUUUGUGAUGCGCUCUCAAAGAGUCGAGUUGUUUGGGAAUGCAGCUCAAAAUGGGUGGUAAAUUCCAUCUAAAGCUAAAUAUUGGCGAGAGACCGAUAGCGAACAAGUACCGUGAGGGAAAGAUGAAAAGAACUUUGGAAAGAGAGUUAAACAGUACGUGAAAUUGCUGAAAGGGAAACGCUUGAAGUCAGUCGCGUUGUCCAGGGAUCAACCUUGCUUUUGCUUGGUGUACUUUCUGGUUGACGGGUCAGCAUCAAUUUUGACCAUUGGAAAAAGAUUAGGGGAAUGUGGCAUCCUCGGAUGUGUUAUAGCCCUUGGUUGCAUACAAUGAUUGGGAUUGAGGAACUCAGCACGCCGCAAGGCCGGGUUUUUACCACGUACGUGCUUAGGAUGCUGGCAUAAUGGCUUUAAUCGACCCGUCUUGAAACACGGACCAAGGAGUCUAACAUGCCUGCGAGUGUUUGGGUGGAAAACCCGAGCGCGUAAUGAAAGUGAAAGUUGAGAUCCUUGUCAUGGGGAGCAUCGACGCCCGGACCAGACCUUUUGUGACGGUUCCGCGGUAGAGCAUGUAUGUUGGGACCCGAAAGAUGGUGAACUAUGCCUGAAUAGGGUGAAGCCAGAGGAAACUCUGGUGGAGGCUCGUAGCGAUUCUGACGUGCAAAUCGAUCGUCAAAUUUGGGUAUAGGGGCGAAAGACUAAUCGAACCAUCUAGUAGCUGUUUCCUGCCGAAGUUUCCCUCAG
RNAcentral lists this ribosomal RNA (945 nucleotides) under Quadrispora oblongispora. Its description in RNAcentral is "LSU rRNA". It matches the Rfam family "Eukaryotic large subunit ribosomal RNA", at positions 44 to 976 of the family's 3401-position model. Lineage: Eukaryota; Fungi; Basidiomycota; Agaricomycetes; Agaricales; Cortinariaceae. The record is from RNAcentral.